UACGAAGGGGGCUAGCGUUGUUCGGCAUCACUGGGCGUAAAGCGCACGUAGGCGGCUUUGUAAGUUAGAGGUGAAAGCCCGGAGCUCAACUCCGGAAUUGCCUUUAAGACUGCAUCGCUAGAAUUGUGGAGAGGUGAGUGGAAUUCCGAGUGUAGAGGUGAAAUUCGUAGAUAUUCGGAAGAACACCAGUGGCGAAGGCGACUCACUGGACACAUAUUGACGCUGAGGUGCGAAAGCGUGGGGAGCAAACAGG
Molecule: ribosomal RNA, 253 nt
Filed under: uncultured bacterium
Lineage: Bacteria
Description: partial 16S ribosomal RNA
Rfam family: Bacterial small subunit ribosomal RNA
Source: RNAcentral